UACGUAGGUGGCAAGCGUUGUCCGGAAUUAUUGGGCGUAAAGCGCGCGCAGGCGGUUCGGUAAGUUGGAUGUGAAAUCCCCAGGCUCAACCUGGGAAUUGCAUUCAAGACUGCCGUACUAGAGGCCUGGAGAGGAGAGUGGAAUUCCCAGUGUAGAGGUGAAAUUCGUAGAUAUUGGGAAGAACACCAGUGGCGAAGGCGGCUCUCUGGCCAGGUUCUGACGCUGAGGCGCGAAAGUGUGGGGAGCAAACAGG
Molecule: unclassified non-coding RNA, 253 nt
Filed under: uncultured Caryophanales bacterium
Lineage: Bacteria; Bacillati; Bacillota; Bacilli; Caryophanales
Description: uncultured Bacillales bacterium contains 16S-23S intergenic spacer region
Rfam family: Bacterial small subunit ribosomal RNA
Source: RNAcentral